RNAcentral lists this ribosomal RNA (882 nucleotides) under human gut metagenome. RNAcentral describes it as "bacterial SSU rRNA". It matches the Rfam family "Bacterial small subunit ribosomal RNA", at positions 31 to 908 of the family's 1533-position model. The record is from RNAcentral.
GAACGCUGGCGGCGUGCCUAACACAUGCAAGUCGAACGGAGUUCUUAAGGAAUGCGGCUUCGGCCAAAUGACUUUUGAACUUAGUGGCGGACGGGUGAGUAACGCGUGAGCAACCUGCCUUUCAGAGGGGGAUAACAUUUGGAAACAGAUGCUAAUACCGCAUAAGAUUACAGUACCGCAUGAUACAGUGAUCAAAGGAGCAAUCCGCUGAAAGAUGGGCUCGCGUCCGAUUAGAUAGUUGGUGAGGUAACGGCUCACCAAGUCGACGAUCGGUAGCCGGACUGAGAGGUUGAACGGCCACAUUGGGACUGAGACACGGCCCAGACUCCUACGGGAGGCAGCAGUGGGGAAUAUUGCACAAUGGGCGAAAGCCUGAUGCAGCAACGCCGCGUGAGGGAAGACGGUUUUCGGAUUGUAAACCUCUGUUUUCGGUGACGAACAAAUGACGGUAACCGAGUAGGAAGCCACGGCUAACUACGUGCCAGCAGCCGCGGUAAUACGUAGGUGGCAAGCGUUAUCCGGAAUUACUGGGUGUAAAGGGAGCGCAGGCGGGAUAGCAAGUCAGCUGUGAAAACUAUGGGCUCAACCCAUAAACUGCAGUUGAAACUGUUAUUCUUGAGUGGAGUAGAGGCAAGCGGAAUUCCGAGUGUAGCGGUGAAAUGCGUAGAUAUUCGGAGGAACACCAGUGGCGAAGGCGGCUUGCUGGGCUCUAACUGACGCUGAGGCUCGAAAGUGUGGGGAGCAAACAGGAUUAGAUACCCUGGUAGUCCACACUGUAAACGAUGAUUGCUAGGUGUGGGGGGUCUGACCCCCUCCGUGCCGGAGUUAACGCAAUAAGCAAUCCACCUGGGGAGUACGGCCGCAAGGUUGAAACUCAAAGGA